RNAcentral lists this long non-coding RNA (1385 nucleotides) under Sus scrofa (pig). RNAcentral describes it as "lncRNA (ENSSSCG00005001846.1)". Lineage: Eukaryota; Metazoa; Chordata; Mammalia; Artiodactyla; Suidae. The record is from RNAcentral.
GCCGAAUCGGGAAAAGAUCUCAGACGGUCUUUCUGAGUCGGGCUGUCCUGGGGAGGAGCCUCUUGAGCCUCCAAGGGCCCUGCUACCCGCCCAAGACCCCAGGGGGUGCUGAGACCUAGUGGACCAGCUGCAUAGGACUGCCAGCUCCAGGCAGGACCCCCUGCAGCCCAGAAAAGCUGCAACAAGCCUGGCCGACUUGGGAAAAGAUCUCAGACGGUCUUUCUGAGUCGGGCUGUCCUGGGGAGGAGCCUCUUGAGCCUCCAAGGGCCCUGCUACCCGCCCAAGACCCCAGGGGGUGCUGAGACCUAUGGACCAGCUGCAUAGGACUGCCAGCUCCAGGCAGGACCCCCUGCAGCCCAGAAAAGCUGCAACAAGCCUGGCCGACUUGGGAAAAGAUCUCAGACGGUCUUUCUGAGUCGGGCUGUUCUGGGGAGGAGCCUCUUGAGCCUCCAAGGGCCCUGCUACCCGCCCAAGACCCCAGGGGGUGCUGAGACCUAGUGGACCAGCUGCAUAGGACUGCCAGCUCCAGGCAGGACCCCCUGCAGCCCAGAAAAGCUGCAACAAGCCUGGCCGACUUGGGAAAAGAUCUCAGACGGUCUUUCUGAGUCGGGCUGCCCUGGGGAGGAACCUCUUGAGUCUCCAAGGGCCCUGCUACCCGCCCAAGACCCCAAGGGGUGCUGAGACCUAGUGGACCAGCUGCACAAGCCUGCCAGCUCCCGGCAGGACCCCCUGCAGCCCAGAAAAGCUGCAACAAGCCUGGCGGAAUCGGGAAAAGAUCUCAGACGGUCUUUCUGAGUCGGGCUGCCCUGGGGAGGAACCUCUUGAGUCUCCAAGGGCCCUGCUACCCGCCCAAGACCCCAAGGGGUGCUGAGACCUAGUGGACCAGCUGCACAAGCCUGCCAGCUCCCGGCAGGACCCCCUGCAGCCCAGAAAAGCUGCAACAAGCCUGGCGGAAUCGGGAAAAGAUCUCAGACGGUCUUUCUGAGUCGGGCUGCCCUGGGGAGGAACCUCUUGAGUCUCCAAGGGCCCUGCUACCCGCCCAAGACCCCAGGGGGUGCUGAGAACCAAGUGAAAUCUGCUACCAUCGUGGGGUGGACCUCCCAGUCCUGUCUGCCCUCAGGAAGUCCUCCUUUGCUUCAAAGAAACACUGUUAGUCCCAUCAACACUCCAGAAAAGCCACACUGCCUCAAAAAAAGAUUGACCAACAACGACAGCCCUCAGGAAAUAUUCCAGGGCAGUGACAAGGCAAACACUACCCGAUAACGGAGAGUACAACUCCCUCAGGAGAAAGAAGACAACAAGCAAGAUGAAGAAGCUGAGAAACCACCCCCAGUCAAACCAACAGGAGAACUCACCUAAAACAGUCAACAAUGAAACUGAUCUCU